ACCGACCUCAUGAAAUCAGUACACCAAACAAGUGCCAAACGCACAAAUUAUGCAACCCUUCCUUUAGCUGCCUAGCAGUUGAAUAGGGUUCAUGGUCUCUAAACAGACCACGUCUGCCCAUCCUGUUCUCCGGUCAGAGAUGGAGCAGGCGUCACAAGACCGGAGUGCCGUUUGGAUAGCCGCGCUCCAAGCGUAAGCGAGCUUUCGGGCUCCAGUGGCUGGCUGCAGGUUUGGUUGGGUGAUUUACCACCCUGCAGCAAGAUAAACAAUCACCUACGCUCGUAGAUGUUCGAGGCUCUAUUCUUUCGGACGCGGGUUCGAUUCCCGCCAUCUCCACUG
RNAcentral lists this transfer-messenger RNA (339 nucleotides) under Anaerolineaceae bacterium. Its description in RNAcentral is "partial transfer-messenger RNA". It matches the Rfam family "transfer-messenger RNA", at positions 57 to 374 of the family's 374-position model. From Rfam's summary of the family: Bacterial tmRNA, also known as 10Sa RNA or SsrA, is named for its dual tRNA and mRNA-like properties. Its role is to liberate the mRNA from a stalled ribosome. To accomplish this part of the tmRNA is used as a reading frame that ends in a translation stop signal. The record is from RNAcentral. Lineage: Bacteria; Bacillati; Chloroflexota; Anaerolineae; Anaerolineales; Anaerolineaceae.